Molecule: non-coding RNA, 160 nt
Organism: Caenorhabditis elegans
Lineage: Eukaryota; Metazoa; Nematoda; Chromadorea; Rhabditida; Rhabditidae
Source: Ensembl
GCGCGAAGGAUGGUGUAGUGGAUAGAGGCCUCCAACACUGCGAGAACGACGACGGUUCGAGUUCGGCAACUAGUGAAAAUGGGCGGAGCAAUGGGGUACCCCGUGGAUCAUGAUGGUGAGACUGUCCAGGUAUUCGGUAGGGUAAGGAAGGGUUCUAGGG